GAUGAACGCUGGCGGCGUGCCUAACACAUGCAAGUCGAGCGAUCUCUUCGGAGAGAGCGGCGGACGGGUGAGUAACGCGUGGGUAACCUGCCCUGUACACACGGAUAACAUACCGAAAGGUAUACUAAUACGGGAUAACGUAUAAAAGUCGCAUGGCUUUUGUAUCAAAGCUCCGGCGGUACAGGAUGGACCCGCGUCUGAUUAGCUAGUUGGUAAGGUAAUGGCUUACCAAGGCAACGAUCAGUAGCCGACCUGAGAGGGUGAUCGGCCACACUGGAACUGAGACACGGUCCAGACUCCUACGGGAGGCAGCAGUGGGGAAUAUUGCACAAUGGGCGAAAGCCUGAUGCAGCAACGCCGCGUGAGCGAUGAAGGCCUUCAGGUCGUAAAGCUCUGUCCUCAAGGAAGAUAAUGACGGUACUUGAGGAGGAAGCCCCGGCUAACUACGUGCCAGCCGCCGCAGUAA
This 466-nucleotide ribosomal RNA is filed under the name uncultured bacterium. RNAcentral describes it as "partial 16S ribosomal RNA". It matches the Rfam family "Bacterial small subunit ribosomal RNA", at positions 28 to 523 of the family's 1533-position model. The record is from RNAcentral.